AUGCAAGUAGAACGCUGAAGCUUGGUGCUUGCACCGAGCGGAUGAGUUGCGAACGGGUGAGUAACGCGUAGGUAACCUGCCUCUUAGCGGGGGAUAACUAUUGGAAACGAUAGCUAAUACCGCAUAAAAGUCGAUAUCGCAUGAUAUUGAUUUGAAAGGUGCAAAUGCAUCACUAAGAGAUGGACCUGCGUUGUAUUAGCUAGUUGGUGAGGUAACGGCUCACCAAGGCGACGAUACAUAGCCGACCUGAGAGGGUGAUCGGCCACACUGGGACUGAGACACGGCCCAGACUCCUACGGGAGGCAGCAGUAGGGAAUCUUCGGCAAUGGGGGCAACCCUGACCGAGCAACGCCGCGUGAGUGAAGAAGGUUUUCGGAUCGUAAAGCUCUGUUGUAAGAGAAGAACGAGUGUGAGAGUGGAAAGUUCACACUGUGACGGUAACUUACCAGAAAGGGACGGCUAACUACGUGCCAGCAGCCGCGGUAAUACGUAGGUCCCGAGCGUUAUCCGGAUUUAUUGGGCGUAAAGCGAGCGCAGGCGGUUAGAUAAGUCUGAAGUUAAAGGCUGUGGCUUAACCAUAGUACGCUUUGGAAACUGUUUAACUUGAGUGCAGAAGGGGAGAGUGGAAUUCCAUGUGUAGCGGUGAAAUGCGUAGAUAUAUGGAGGAACACCGGUGGCGAAAGCGGCUCUCUGGUCU
Molecule: ribosomal RNA, 697 nt
Filed under: uncultured Bacilli bacterium
Lineage: Bacteria; Bacillati; Bacillota; Bacilli
Description: bacterial SSU rRNA
Rfam family: Bacterial small subunit ribosomal RNA
Source: RNAcentral